Molecule: ribosomal RNA, 274 nt
Filed under: uncultured bacterium
Lineage: Bacteria
Description: partial 16S ribosomal RNA
Rfam family: Bacterial small subunit ribosomal RNA
Source: RNAcentral
AUACAGAGGGUGCAAGCGUUAUUCGGAAUUACUGGGCGUAAAGCGCGCGUAGGCGGAUGAUUAAGUCAGUUGUGAAAGCCCUGGGCUCAACCUAGGAACUGCAUCUGAUACUGUUCGUCUAGAGUUUAAGAGAGGGAAGUGGAAUUCCAGGUGUAGCAGUGAAAUGCGUAGAUAUCUGGAGGAACAUCAGUGGCGAAGGCGACUUCCUGGCUUAAAACUGACGCUGAGGUGCGAAAGCGUGGGUAGCGAACGGGAUUAGAAACCCUAGUAGUCC